RNAcentral lists this transfer RNA (79 nucleotides) under Ictidomys tridecemlineatus (thirteen-lined ground squirrel). RNAcentral's name for it is "Spermophilus tridecemlineatus (thirteen-lined ground squirrel) tRNA". It matches the Rfam family "tRNA". From Rfam's summary of the family: Transfer RNA (tRNA) molecules are approximately 80 nucleotides in length. Their secondary structure includes four short double-helical elements and three loops (D, anti-codon, and T loops). Lineage: Eukaryota; Metazoa; Chordata; Mammalia; Rodentia; Sciuridae. The record is from Rfam by way of RNAcentral.
GGGAAUGUGGCUCAGUGGUAGAGUGUUUGCCUAGCAUGCAAGCAUGCAUGAGGCCCUGGGUUUAAUCCCCACAUCACCA